CGCACCUUGCGCUCCUUGGUAUUCCGAGGAGCAUGCCUGUUUGAGUGUCUUGAAACUCUCGACCCUUUGAGCUUGUCUUGAGCUCAUUGGCGUUGGACUUGGAGGUUCUGUCGGUGUCUGACGUCGACUCCUCUGGAAUGCAUUAGUGGAGGCUUGUGCCCGACCCAGUAGCGGUGUAAUAACUAUUACCACUGCGAACGCGUCGAGGUCUUUGGCCAUUCUGCUUCUAACCGUCCGCAAGGACAGCUCUUCACUCUUUGACCUCAAAUCAGGUAGGACUACCCGCUGAACUUAA
This 295-nucleotide unclassified non-coding RNA is filed under the name Polyporales sp. RNAcentral describes it as "partial contains 5.8S ribosomal RNA, internal transcribed spacer 2, and large subunit ribosomal RNA". The record is from RNAcentral. Lineage: Eukaryota; Fungi; Basidiomycota; Agaricomycetes; Polyporales.